UGCGUAGGUGGUCUUUCAAGUCGGUGGUUAAAGGCUACGGCUCAACCGUAGUUAGCCUCCGAAACUGGAAGACUUGAGUGCAGGAGAGGAAAGUGGAAUUCCCAGUGUAGCGGUGAAAUGCGUAGAUAUUGGGAGGAACACCAGUAGCGAAGGCGGCUUUCUGGACUGCAACUGACACUGAGGCACGAAAGCGUGGGUAGCAAAACA
This 207-nucleotide ribosomal RNA is filed under the name uncultured bacterium. Its description in RNAcentral is "partial 16S ribosomal RNA". It matches the Rfam family "Bacterial small subunit ribosomal RNA", at positions 568 to 775 of the family's 1533-position model. The record is from RNAcentral.